GCUCACACACAGCGUGAGGACAACAUGAUUUCUGCCAGCCUGAUCGUUCUGGGUCUCAGUCUGUGCUUCCUGGGAGCCAGGGCUACGGAUCCCACAAGUGAGUUAACAUUGAACCGUCCGAUUCUUAUUCACAGUCUGUUGGGCAUGAUUAACAUAGGGCUUAGACAGGGACCCCAGAACCGUGAAUUCCCCCAUUCACCAACCCAUGUGAUCAUACUCCUGUUAUACUAUUGUUAUUAAUUAAUAUUGGUACAUGAACACAACUCACAAUACAUGGGGCCGAGGCAGUAACCCCUGUAUAGUAACAGAGAAUAGCAUGUCGUGUACUGUAAAGUAACAGAGAAUAGCGUGUCGUGUCCUGUAUAGUAACAGAGAAUAGCAUGUCCUGUCCUGUAUAGUAACAGAGAAUAGCGUGUCGUGUCCUGUAUAGUAACAGAGAAUAGCAUGUCGUGUCCUGUAAAGUAACAGAGAAUAGCGUGUCGUGUCCUGUAUAGUAACAGAGAAUAGCGUGUCGUGUCCUGUAUAGUAACAGAGAAUAGCAUGUCGUGUCCUGUAUAGUAACAGAGAAUAGCGUGUCGUGUCCUGUAUAGUAACAGAGAAUAGCAUGUCGUGUCCUGUAUAGUAACAGAGAAUAGCAUGUCGUGUCCUGUGUAGUAACAGAGAAUAGCAUGUCGUGUCCUGUAUAGUAACAGAGAAUAGCAUGUCGUGUCCUGUAAAGUAACAGAGAAUAGCAUGUCGUGUCCUGUAUAGUAACAGAGAAUAGCGUGUCGUGUCCUGUAUAGUAACAGAGAAUAGCAUGUCGUGUCCUGUAUAGUAACAGAGAAUAGCGUGUUGUGUCCUGUAUAGUAACAGAGAAUAGCAUGUCGUGUCCAGUAAAAUAACAGAGAAUAGCAUGUCGUGUCCUGUAUAGUAACAGAGAAUAGCGUGUCAUGUCCUGUAUAGUAACAGAGAAUAGCUUGUCCUGUAUAGUAACAGAGAAUAGCAUGUCAUGUCCUGUAUAGUAACAGAGAAUAGCGUGUCGUGUCCUGUAUAGUAACAGGAGGAACAGCAUAUCCUGUAUAGUGCAACAGAGAAUAGCAUGUCGUGUCCUGUAAAGUAACAGAAUAGUGUACCUGUAUAGUAACAGAGAAUAGUGUGUCGUGUCCUGUAUAGUAACAGGGUACAGCGUGUCGUGUCCUGUAUAGUAACAGAGAAUAGCGUGUCGUGUCCUGUAUAGUAACAGAGAAUAGCGUGUCGUGUCCUGUAUAGUAACAGAGAAUAGCAUGUCAUGUCCUGUAUAGUAACAGAGAAUAGCGUGUCGUGUCCUGUAUAGUAACAGAGAAUAGCAUGUCCUGCAUAGUAACAGAGAAUAGCAUGUCGUGUCCUGUAAAGUAACAGAGAAUAGUGUGUCCUGUAUAGUAACAGAGAAUAGCGUGUCGUGUCCUGUAUAGUAACAGAGAAUAGCAAGUCGUGUCCUGUAUAGUAACAGAGAAUAGCGUGUCGUGUCCUGUAUAGUAACAGAGAAUAGCGUGUCAUGUCCUGUAUAGUAACAGAGAAUGUCGUGUCGUCUCCUGUAUAGUAACAGAGAAUAGCAUGUCGUGUCCUGUAUAGUAACAGAGAAUAGCAUGUCGUGUCCUGUAUAGUAACAGAGAAUAGCUUGUCUUGUCCUGUAUAGUAACAGAGAAUAGCUUGUCCUGUAUAGUAACAGAGAAUAGCAUGUCAUGUCCUGUAUAGUAACAGAGAAUAGCGUGUCGUGUCCUGUAUAGUAACAGAUAAUAGCAUGUCCUGUAUAGUAACAGAGAAUAGCAUGUCGUGUCCUGUAUAGUAACAGAGAAUAGUGUGUCCUGUAUAGUAACAGAGAAUAGCGUGUCGUGUCCUGUAUAGUAACAGAGAAUAGCAAGUCGUGUCCUGUAUAGUAACAGAGAAUAGCGUGUCGUGUCCUGUAUAGUAACAGAGAAUAGCAUGUCGUGUCCUGUAUAGUAACAGAGAAUAGCGUGUCGUGUCCUGUAUAGUAACAGGGUACAGCGUGUCGUGUCCUGUAUAGUAACAGAGAAUAGUGUGUCCUGUAUAGUAACAGAGAAUAGCGUGUCGUGUCCUGUAUAGUAACAGAGAAUAGCGUGUCGUGUUCUGUAUAGUAACAGAGAAUAGCGUGUCGUGUCCUGUAUAGUAACAGAGAAUAGCGUGUCGUGUUCUGUAUAGUAACAGAGAAUAGCGUGUUGUGUCCUGUAUAGUAAAAGAGAAUAGCGUGUCGUGUCCUGUAUAGUAACAGAGAUUAGCGUGUCGUGUCCUGUAUAGUAACAGAGAAUAGCGUGUCGUCCUGUAUAGUAACAGGGAAUAGCGCACGUAUCCCGUAUAGUAACAGAGAAUAGCUGGUCGUGGUCCUGUAUAGUAACAGAAUAGCAUGUCGCGGUCCCGUAUAGUAACAGAAUACGUGGUCCUGUAUAGUAACAGAGAAUAGCGUGUCGUGUCCUGUAUAGUAACAGAGAAUAGCGUGUCAUGUCCUGUAUAGUAACAGAGAAUAGCUUGUCCUGUAUAGUAACAGAGAAUAGCGUGUCGUGUCCUGUAUAGUAACAGAGAUAGCGUGUCGUGUCCUGUAUAGUAACAGAGAGUAGUCGUGUCCUGUAUAGUAACAGAGAAUAGCAUGUCGUGUCCUGUAUAGUAACAGAGAAUAGCGUGUCCGGUAUAGUAACAGAGAAUAGCGUGUCCUGUAUAGUAACAGAGAAUAGCGUGUCGUGUCCUGUAUAGUAACAGAGAAUAGCGUGUCGUGUAUAGUAACAGAGAAUAGCAUGUCGUGUCCUGUAUAGUAGCAGAGAAUAGCUUGUCUUGUCCUGUAUAGCAACAGAAUAGCAUGUUGUUCCCUGUAUAGUAACAGAGAAUAGCGUUCGGUUCCAUGCGCACUAAUGGAAAGUGCUGAACCAGUGGAACCAGGGGGAAUAAAAUAUGGUUCUUUACAGUCGCUGACCUGGCCCAUAGUUGGUGGGCAUAGUCGGUAAGCAAACAUGUAUUCCUGACCCUAUAGUGUUAACACCACCAUCUAGCCUCCAUAAAUAUAGUAAAGUUCUUACUGUAUUCAAGCCUGAAGCUGUAGCUCUGCAUGCUGUUUGAGUCAGAAAAACAAGCAGUCUGCUGACAUCAUCAUAAGUUGUAGCCUGAUCCAAUCACAGAGCGUCCCCAUAGGAUUGGCUGAGACUGUCAAGGAGGCAGAUUAGGGGCAGAGCCAGCAUGAUUCAAACACAGCCCUGGCCAAUCAGCAUCUCCUCAUAGAGAUGAAUUGAAUCAAUGAAUCUCUAUGAGGAAAGUUCAGUGUCUGCAUGCAGAGGGAGGAGAUACUGAAUGUUUGGAUGCAUUUUAGGCAGCCAUGACCCAGGAAGGAUCUCUAACAGCCAUCUGAGGAGUGGCCAGUGAAGUUAUCACUAGGCUGUAAUGUAAACACUGCAUUUUCUCUGAAAAGACAGUGUUUACAGCAAAAAGCCUGAAGGUAAUGAUUCUACUCACCAGAACAAAUUCAAUAAGCUGUAAUUGUUCUGGUGACUAUAGUGUCCCUUUAAACGAGAAAAUGUUAAAAAAAAAGUCAUAUUUACAUGUACCUUGUAACCCUUAUAAUCACCAUAAUUAUGAAAAGUCAUGCAGAUAAAAAUGCCAUUAGCUCAAUGGCUAAUCCUCUUGUUACUCUACGUUGAAUGUUGCUGCUAUCCAGAAUUCAGACUUUAACCCCUUAAGGACACAACUUCUGGAAUAAAAGGGAAUCAUGAUGUGUCAUUAAGGGGUUAAUAUUGGUCUAUAACUGGAAUAGGAGCUUUGUAUAUCAGUGAGUGGUAGUCUAGGUAAUCGAUAUCAGAAGAAUACCCCCUAUAGAUGGCUAAUAGAGAGUUAGUAAAGACAUAUGCAAAAAUGAUAUGAAUGCUUUCUCCAAAUAAUCUCUUAAUACAUAAUAGAGAGAUUGGUAAUCAUAGUGUUAGUGAUAGAAUGGAAUGAAUGGAUCAGCUGGCUGUAACAGAGUUAUUCCUAUUUUGUAAUGAUGUUGCAAUAGUGUUGCCUUUUAAACACUAGUAUUCCUUGAAUGGCCCUAUGAGUCAACCUUACAGUUUAUAACUAAGGUUGCAAUAUGUUGCCUUUAGUAUUAGCGAAUCUACCAGGAAAGCAUACAGCCGGCAUGCAUCCAAUUGCUGAGUAAAGAGCUAUAGAUCUGUGCAGGGAUCAGAGUAUUAGCUCAAGCAGCAAACUCAAAAUCUCUAUGAUGCUGAUAAUACCCUAGACUUACAAGAGGAAAAAAGACAUUUAAAAAAAUAAGUGCUAUAAGUGCAGAACCAUGCUUCGAAUGCCGGUUACCCGCACUGUGAAAGUGAAAGUGCCCUGUGAAAAAGCUAUUUCUUUUUACCCCUGACGAAGGUGCACACAAGAGUGCACCGAAACGUGCGUCAGGUUUUUUUCACUUUUUCACAGGGCACUUUCACUUUCACAUUCUCACAACUCCAUAUCAGGUAACCUGACCUAGCCUACACCUGAACCCCUGGUGAGCAGGGCCCCAGUCCCCCGUGCCCCCUUGAUACUUGGUUCUCAUAUGAAAGUUUCCACUUAAAUGGAAAUUCUAUAUAUACAAAUAAGUCCCCCCCCCUCCUCCCCAGGGGAGAAUUCAAGCCAACGAGGGGGAGAACCACAAUCCAAAGUUGAAUUGUCCUAAGAUACAGCCACAACUAUACAGUGUAACAAGUUUUACUCUGGGAUAUCCAACCAACACAGUAAAAACCUGUGAAUUGGAAUGAAUAUUGUGUUAUUCACCAUAAUAUUGCCAAAUGUUACUUACAUCCAAUAUAUUUCUGAUACAAUUCCUGUAUUACCUUGCAGUCGCCGUUUGGCAAUGUCACUGUAUGUAUUUAUCGCAUAUUACCAAUAAAAAAAAAAAAACACAUAUGUAUUUUUCAAUGUUUCACACAGACAUUCCUGUAAAAAUGCUUUAAUCAAUUAUUACCCAUUAUGUCUGAAUAAUGAUAUUUUUUGGUUCCUUUCCCUGAUGUAGAGAAGCCGGGCAGUUGUCCUUUGGACGUGGAUUACCCACGAUGUGACUCGGUGAAUGUAAACAAUCUGAAGAACGAUUGUCGGACAGACAGAGACUGCAAGGGGGACAGAAAGUGCUGCUUUUCUGGCUGUCAGAAACAGUGCCUCCUGCCUCUGAAAGGUGUGGAACCUGACACAUAAAACGUACUACUGCCAUGUUUGGAAUGUUCUGAAUGUCACUUAUUGACACAAU
This is a non-coding RNA of Pelobates cultripes (western spadefoot toad), 5227 nucleotides long. Lineage: Eukaryota; Metazoa; Chordata; Amphibia; Anura; Pelobatidae. The record is from the annotation of a GenBank genome assembly.